CCCGGAUUCCUACGGGAGCCAAGCUCCGUCCAUGACUUCUGCUGUAAGGAAGACUCCGUCCGGACUCCUACAGGAGCUAGGCUCCGUCCAUGACUUCUGCUGCAAGGAGGACUCUGCCCAGACUCCUAUGGGAGCCGGGCUCCAUCCACGACUUCUGCUGCAAGGAAGACUCCGCCCGAACUCCUAUGGGAGUCGAGCUC
RNAcentral lists this long non-coding RNA (200 nucleotides) under Elaeis guineensis (African oil palm). RNAcentral's name for it is "long non-coding RNA (EGUI_LNC045411)". The record is from RNAcentral. Lineage: Eukaryota; Viridiplantae; Streptophyta; Magnoliopsida; Arecales; Arecaceae.